GGGAGCAUGGCAUUGAAUCGUAUGCAAAAUGCAAAAGGUGCCGCACUCAAGUUACUGGCAGAAAGCUAUACAAGCAGGGAUCAGGUUUCCAUAAUUCCUUUCCGUGGAGAUUGUGCUGAAGUUCUUCUGCCUCCUUCCAGAUCUAUUGCAAUGGCGAGAAAACGUCUCGAGAGACUUCCUUGUGGUGGAGGAUCUCCCCUGGCUCAUGGUCUUACCACAGCUGUCAGGGUUGGAUUAAAUGCUGAGAAAAGUGGCGAUGUAGGAAGAGUGAUGAUUGUUGCAAUUACCGAUGGCAGA
RNAcentral lists this unclassified non-coding RNA (297 nucleotides) under Hevea brasiliensis (rubber tree). Lineage: Eukaryota; Viridiplantae; Streptophyta; Magnoliopsida; Malpighiales; Euphorbiaceae. The record is from RNAcentral.